RNAcentral lists this ribosomal RNA (255 nucleotides) under uncultured prokaryote. Its description in RNAcentral is "partial 16S ribosomal RNA". It matches the Rfam family "Bacterial small subunit ribosomal RNA", at positions 523 to 777 of the family's 1533-position model. The record is from RNAcentral.
AUACGGAGGGUGCGAGCGUUGUCCGGAAUCACUGGGCGUAAAGGGCGCGUAGGCGGCCUGAUAAGUAGGGGGUGAAAUCCUGCGGCUUAACCGCAGGGCUGCCUUCUAAACUGUCAGGCUGGAGCACAGUAGAGGCAGGUGGAAUUCCCGGUGUAGCGGUGGAAUGCGUAGAGAUCGGGAAGAGCAUCAGUGGCGAAGGCGGCCUGCUGGGCUGUUGCUGACGCUGAGGCGCGAAAGCUAGGGGAGCGAACGGGA